AUGCCUCAAAUUAUUUUUUAUCAUGGGGCAUAUAUAUCCAUAUGCCAUCAUUGUACAUGCGCUGAGGCGAGGCACGCUUGGUUUACGUGCUCCGUCUCCGUCCGGAACGUCCAUCGCCGCCGCUUCCUCGUCGUGGCCGCCGCGUGCGGGCUGGAAAGGGACGGCCAGCUUUUCCGACGCCUCCCUGACGUGUCAGCCCAGCCCCGAACCACCACACGCGUCCAUCCCCAUCCGCUGCUCCCCGCAAGCCAUCCGCCCGAUCCACGUGAGCCCGCCGCGUCCAUCCCCCCGCGCCCCACCACCCACCGGCCCAUGCGCCCGUUCCACGGACCCAACCCCCGCCCCACGACAAGGACACGCCGCGAGGCCGUGAGGCAUGACUGGCAGGUGGUCCCGCCUUAA
Molecule: ribosomal RNA, 402 nt
Filed under: Triticum aestivum (bread wheat)
Lineage: Eukaryota; Viridiplantae; Streptophyta; Magnoliopsida; Poales; Poaceae
Description: partial small subunit ribosomal RNA
Source: RNAcentral